ACAGAUGACUGAUGCCCGGUGAGAAGUUGAACGUGACAUAUACCCUCGUCAGCUGCAAGAAAGGAACCAUGAGACAGAUGACUGAUGCCCGGUGAGAAGUUGAACGUGACAUAUACCCCUCGUCAGCUGCAAGAAAGGAACCACAAGACAGAGGCCUUUACAGAAUGAUGGUUGUUUGGAUGAAGAUACCAUAUCUACAUGACGAAUAACAUGCUGUUGAAAUGUUUACAUUUAUCUAGACAUACACACAAUUUUUCAAGAAAUGAAGUAUUUCUCGCAGAAAAAGAUUGCAGUAAAACAAACAUGUUUUGCUAUACACAUGUUUAUUCCCUUUGUGUGUAUUGGAACUAAACCAAAAAAGGGAGGAAAAAAAGCAAAUUGUACAUAAUGUCAAACCGAACUCCAAAAAUAGGCUGGACAAAAUUAUUGGCACCCUUUCAAAAUUGUGGAAAAAUAAGAUUGAUUCAAGCAUGUGAUGCUCCUUUAAACUCACCUGGGGCAAGUAAUAGGUGUGGGCAAUAUAAAAAUCACACCUGAAAGCAGAUAAAAAGGAGAGAAGUUCACUUAGUAUUUGCAUUGUGUGUCUGUGUGUGCCACACUAAGCAUGGACAACAUAAAGAGGAGAACGGUCUGAGGACUUGAACCAAAAUUGUGGAAAAAUAUCAACAAUCUCAAGGUUACAAGUCCUUCUCCAGAGAUCUAGAUUUGCCUUUGUCCACAGUGCGCAACAUUAUCAAGAAGUUUGCAACCCAUGGCACUGUAGCUAAUCUCCCUGGGUGUGGAUUGAAGAGAAAAAUUUAUGAAAGGUGUCAACGCAGGAUAGUCCGGAUGGUGGAUAACCAGUCCCAAACAAGUUCCAAAGAUAUUCAAGCUGUCCUGCAGGCUCAGGGAGCAUCAGUGUCACCGCGAACUAUCCGUCGACAUUAAAAUGAUAUUACACGCUAGAGAUGAGCGAAUCAAAGCUGACAAACCCGAAUUCGUUACGAAUUUUAGGAAAUAUUCGAUUUGCAACGAAUGCGAAUAUUGCCGUGAUUCUAUCGUGCAAAUCGUUUAAUUUAACUCCAUUCACUGCGGUGCAUGCUCCAGGGCAUCUAAAAUGUCAGUCAGUACAUGGGGCAAGGAAAGCGGGAAGGGAAGUAGGCGGGAUGACCCUGAAUCACAUGCAGGAUGCAGCCUAUCAGCAGCCAGUCACCCCUGUGAUGUCACAGCCCUAUAUAAUCAGCAGCCAUCCUGCGGCCAGUCACCUAAUUAUAAUACACUGCAAAAGGAUCAUAGGACGCAGUGCCUGUGUGUGUGUGUUACAGCAGAGAAAAACACAGUCUAGCAGCAUUUAACAUCCUCCUAGUCACAUCAGCGUUCUCGUGGAUGGAAAGCAUUGUUUUUUUUCACUGAAAAGGAUUUUUACUACAGCUGCUGGCAUUAAACUCCCAAUCACUUUCUUCACCAUAGUAUUACAGAGAGGGGCACAUAACUGUGUGUUGCCUCAUACAUUUCAACAAGCUGCAUCAACUUCAUAAAUCUUAGCAGAGGAGGCAUGAAUAAUUUUUAAGUGCAAUUCAGUGUCUAUGUUCCACAAAAUAUCAUUUACUGCUUAUACUAGUCUAUAGACGGUAUAAUACCCAGCUGUACAUUCCUAAUAGUCUUUGACAGAGUGCAAUUUUGUGUUUAGUACACAGCUUUUUUUUUUUAGCUGCAGCACUGUUGUGUACUGCUGGUGUUUUACAAAAAUAUGUUUUUUUAAGAGUACUGUAGCGCAUUUUUCUGCCCUCAUCAGUGCAUACCGCAUACGUACAUCUAAGUAGUUUACUAUUUUGUACCUGUUAAUCUAUCAAGGGCCUACAUACUGUGAAAGGACAGCCAAUAGUACACACCCUCUGCUGUUCUAGACAAAUACUGUUUUAAGCGUAGUGAAGCGUAUUGUACUCCCCUCAUAUACACAAGUAUGUCAGGCAGAGUAGUGCCAGGACAUGCACAGAGGAGUGGCAGAGGCCUAAAUUCAUCAGGUGCAGGCAGAGGUUGCAGCGUAGGGGUGUGUGGCAGCUGUAGUCGCAGCGAGUGGUCUGAGCUCCCGGUGUCAGCUAGCAGUCGUGUCACGACCAGCAACCCAGCAGCCGUGAUUGAUCGGUUCGCUCAGUCAUCCACUUCAUCCCAAGUGAGGUUCACUUGGUCAUCCACUUCAUCCCUAAUGACAACCGACACCCCCAGUUGACAGUCGGUGGGUUCCUCAAAGUUGGCAUGGCCCUCAUGCUAAUGCUACCUCCUCCAGGCCCUGUCAUUGUGCCACCAUAUGGUCUCCAUGCUGAUGCUGCCACCUCCAGGCUCUCUAAUUGUGCUGCUCUAUGGUCUCCUCCUGCUGAUGCUACCACCUCCAGGCUCUCUUAUUGUGUUGCCUUGGAUGUAAAACAUAAUUAAGGUGCUGGUCCUCAGUUUCAGAAAUUCCUUGCAUUAGGGUCACUUUCAGGACUCCUGAUGCCACCUCCAGGCUGUGGCAUUCAGCCAGCCACUAUAUGGCCUCCUCAUGCUUCAGCCACCUCCAGGCUGUGGCAUUCAGCCACUAUAUGGUCUCCUCAUGCUUCAGCCACCUUCAGGCUUUGCCAUUCAGACACUAUAUGGUUUCCUCAUGCUUCAGCCACCUCCAGGCUGUGCCAUUCAGACACUAUAUGGUCUCCCUAUGCUGCCACAAACUCCAGGCAGUCAUUCAGCCACUAAUAUGGUCUCCUCAUACUGAUGCCACCUCCAGGCUCUGUCAUUGUGCUGCCAUGUGACAUAUGACUUCUUGUUAGAUUUGGUCCUUUGUACCCACACACUGGGGCCCGGGACACUAAAACUUGGGAGUUAAAAGUUCAGUUUCAAAAUCCUCAAUUUCAAUUUAAAAAUCUUAAAUUUCCAGGCUGUGCCAUUCAGACACUAUAUGGUCUCUUCAUGCUUUAGCCACGUCCAGGCUGUGUCAUUCAGCCACUAUAAGGUCUCCAUAUAUUGACUUUGUUUUGUAAGAAACAUGUGGCUAUCCUUGAGUUACUCUCCCAGCAUUAUUGCCAUGUUGAUACCAUACCAGUAAUAAAAGGAAUAUUGCCAAGGACUAGCAGAAACAGGGAACUGUGGAUACUGACCACCGGCUGUUGGAAUUGACUGACUAUCCCAGGUGGUAGAUUUACCAUUUUGAAGUUCCUCAGUUACAGUUUGCUUUAAGUCGUUCAUUCUUUGUUGUGGUUCUUCAGUUGCAGAGAUAAGUUGUAUCAUCUUUUCCUUUUCCUCCGAUGAGCUAAUGUCACUGGAACACACAACACUCAUAUUGACAUCUAAUGAAGUAUCCUUUUCUUCAGAGAAUGUAUAUAUCAUUUUAUUAUUUUGAAUGUGAGGUGGUAUUCUGUCAAUUUCUGAUUAUAAAGGAAUUUUGGAAUCUGGGACCCAGGUAAAAAUAAGUAUUUUUAAGCGUACUGUAGCACAUUUUUCUGCACUCAUUAGUGCAUACCACAUACCUACAUCUAAUUAGUGUACUAUUUUGUACCUGUUAAACUGUCAAGGGUCUAUAUACUGUGAAAGGACAGCCAAUAGU
This is a long non-coding RNA of Hyla sarda, 3556 nucleotides long. RefSeq lists it as uncharacterized. The record is from RefSeq and is a predicted model, not a curated record. Lineage: Eukaryota; Metazoa; Chordata; Amphibia; Anura; Hylidae. The transcript is spliced from 3 exons.